GCUGUAACAAGGUCACUCAGUUGUAAAUGUGAGCCAGAGCGCAACGGUAGGAACUGAUCCAUUUAAUCCAGAAAUAUAAAGGGAUGAUGACUCCACCUGGGCAGCCCAUUCCAAUGGCAAAUCACUCUCUCUGGGAAGAACUUCCUCCUAACAUCCAGCCUAUACUUCUCCCGGCACAACUUGAGACUGUGUCCCCUUGUUCUAUUGCUGGUUGCCUUGCAGAAGAGACCAACCCCCACCUGGCUACAGCCUCCCUUCAGGUGAAGGCCCUUUGGCUGAAAGCUUUCCAAGCUGAGUUUAAAAGGACUACUAGUGACAACAAAUGAGAUUUCUCUGUAGCUCUUCUUCGUGAAGAAAUAAGCUGAAAAGUGGACACACUCUGAAGCAAUGAAGAACUACACUCAAUAGAGAAGGAUUAAGAAACCAAUUAUUUUAACAAAUUAUAUAGAUUGAAGUUCACGACUUGGUUAAUUCACAUGUGCAGGGGGAACUGGUCAAUAUCACUACAAGGCCACUGUCUUAUCUUGGACUGCCACAGUGACUGAGGAAGACUCCUGAGGAAUGGAAGAAAGCAAGGAUAAUUCAACAAACAAUAGGCCAGUCAGCCUUAUUUUGAUCACUGGAAAGGAGGAGCAUCAUGUAAUCCUGGAAACUCUGUUGGUGGGUGUUGGUCUUUACUGCUGGGAUAGUGGCAGGACAAGGAGGGAUGUGGAAGUAGUUCUCUGGCUUGGGCUUUUGGCUCGCUUGCUUCUGUUUGCUGCUGCUUUGUGCAGCACUGUGUAAAUAAGUUAUGGUAAUAAGGAAUUUUGUACUAUGUUUAUCUGAUUUUGCUCAGUAAAGUAUUCUUCUCUUGCUUUUUUUGGUCUCAA
This is a long non-coding RNA of Pogoniulus pusillus (Red-fronted tinkerbird), 869 nucleotides long. RefSeq lists it as uncharacterized. NCBI's taxonomy places the organism in Eukaryota, Metazoa, Chordata, Aves, Piciformes, Lybiidae. The record is from RefSeq and is a predicted model, not a curated record. The transcript is spliced from 4 exons.